Molecule: ribosomal RNA, 497 nt
Filed under: uncultured bacterium
Lineage: Bacteria
Description: partial 16S ribosomal RNA
Rfam family: Bacterial small subunit ribosomal RNA
Source: RNAcentral
GAUGAACGCUGGCGGCGUGCCUAAUACAUGCAAGUCGAGCGAACAGACGAGGAGCUUGCUCCUCUGACGUUAGCGGCGGACGGGUGAGUAACACGUGGAUAACCUACCUAUAAGACUGGGAUAACAUCGGGGCACCGGAGCUAUUACCGGAUGAUAUAUUGAACCGCAUGGGUCAAUAGUUAAAGACGGUUUUUCUUUCAGUAAUGGCUGGAUCCGCGCUGGAUGAGCUAGUUGGUAAGGUAACGGCUUAGCCAGGCAAGGAUGCGUAGCCGCCCUGAGAGGGUGAUCGCACAGCCGGUAACUGAGGAAGGGCCCAGACUCCUACGGUAGGCCGCAGCAGGGAAUCCUCCGCGAUGCGCGAGUGCCUGAUGUUGCAACGCCGCGUGAGUGAUGAAGGUCUUCGGACCGUAAAAUUCUGUUAGUAGGGAAGAAGAAAUGUGUAAGUAACUAUGCACGUCUUGACGGUACCUAAUCAGAAAGCCACGGCUAACUACGUG